CAAGUACCGUGAGGGAAAGUUGAAAAGCACUCUGAAUAGAGAGUUAAAUAGUACGUGAAACCGCUUAGGGGUUAAGCCUGAUGAACCCGAAUAUUUGAAAUGGGAAAUUCAUUAUUAUUAAGUAGCUACGCUUUGCCGUAGCGAACAAUGGUAUGCACUUUUCUCAGUGUAAAACAUUGCAAUCUAUUUGUAUAUCCGUAUGGAUGGUUUAUCAAAUGGCCCGUAUGGUUUGUUCAUUCCUAUCUGUGACAUUUUACAUGUCAUAUGGUUGAUGCCAUAUCGGUGACCUGGUAAACAGCAGAUAGUUUUUAAAGAUCAUGCAACCACAUUUUAUGUGUAUCACGGUUUGUGUGCUUUUGGUGCGCGAAUGCAGUGAUAGCAUGUAUCCGAUUGGCAAUGCGAUAGGUUUGGGAACCUUCAGGACCCGUCUUGAAACACGGACCAAGAAGUCUAACAUGUGUGCGAGUCAUUGGGUAUAUUGUUGAAACCUAAGGGCGCAAUUAAAAUAACUAUUUUAUAUGGGAUUACAAGUGAAUUAAAUUUCAUUUCUUCAUCCCGGGGCGUUCUAUACGAACAUGGUGCAAGCAAUUGUGCCCUCUGUUCAAGAGCGUACCUUGAGCACACAUGCUGUGACCCGAAAGAUGGUGAACUAUACCUGAUCAGAUCGAAGCCAGGAGAAAUUCUGGUGGAGGAUCGAAACAGUUCUGACGUGCAAAUCGAUUGUCAGAAUUGGGUAUAGGGGCGAAAGACCAAUCGAACCAUCUAGUAGCUGGUUCCCUCCGAAGUUUCCCUCAGGAUAGCUGGCGCAAAGAAUUAUAUUGUAUAUAAUCUUAUCUGGUAAAGCGAAUGAUUAGAGGCCUUGGGGCCGAAACGACCUCAACCUAUUCUCAAACUUUAAAUGGGUAAGAACCUCAUCUUUCUUGAUCUGAAGAUAUUGGGGUUUAGAUAUAUUGUGCCCAGUGGGCCACUUUUGGUAAGCAGAACUGGCGCUGUGGGAUGAACCAAACAUGAUGUUACGGCGCCUAAAUUAAUGACUCAUAUUGAUACCAUGAAAGGCGUUGGUUGCUUAAAACAGCAGGACGGUGGACAUGGAAGUCGUAAUCCGCUAAGGAGUGUGUAACAACUCACCUGCCGAAGCAACUAGCCCUUAAAAUGGAUGGCGCUCAAGUCAUAUGCCUAUACAUCAUCGCUAGAAUAAAAACUGUUGACCCAUCGCGGGCCAUCAGUAUGAAAUUCUAGUGAGUAGGAGGGUACAAUGGUGUGCGCGGAAGUGUUUGGCGUGAGCCUGCAUGAAGCCGCCAUUGGCACAGAUCUUGGUGGUAGUAGCAAAUAAUCGAAUGAGAUCUUGGAGGACUGAAGUGGAGAAGGGUUUCGUGUGAACAGUGGUUGAUCACGAGUUAGUCGGUCCUAAGCUUUAUGCGAAAGCUGUUUAAUUUAUGUUACACAUAAGCAAUAAAGUUAAUUUUUUGUUGUACAUAAUUCAAUAAAAGCGAAAGGGAAUACGGUUCCAAUUCCGUAACCUGUUGAGUAUACGUUUGUUUAUUAAAAAUGGGUCUUAUUACACUCAUCCUGGCAACAGGAACGACCAUAGAGAAGCCUUCGAGAGAUACUGGAAGAGUUUUCUUUUCUGCUAAACAAACGUAUCACCAUGGAAGUCUUUUAUAGAGAGAUAUGGUGAAUGGCUUGGAAGAGCAUGACAUUUACUGUUGUGUCAGUAUUUUCUCCUUGGACCUUGAAAAUCUAUGGUGGGGCCACGCAAACUUUCUCAACAGACCGUACCGAUAUCCGCAGCCGGUCUCCAAGGUGAAGAGUCUCUAGUCGAUAGAAUA
This 1829-nucleotide ribosomal RNA is filed under the name Pseudolycoriella jejuna. RNAcentral's name for it is "partial 28S ribosomal RNA". It matches the Rfam family "Eukaryotic large subunit ribosomal RNA", at positions 345 to 1897 of the family's 3401-position model. Lineage: Eukaryota; Metazoa; Arthropoda; Insecta; Diptera; Sciaridae. The record is from RNAcentral.